GGAGAGGUGUCGGAGUCUGGUUUAACGAGCACGACUGGAAAUCGUGUGGGGUCUAACGGCCCUCGUGGGUUCGAAUCCCACCCUCUCCGCCA
This 92-nucleotide transfer RNA is filed under the name Verrucomicrobiota bacterium. RNAcentral's name for it is "Verrucomicrobia bacterium (fermentation metagenome) tRNA-Ser". It matches the Rfam family "tRNA". Rfam says of the family: Transfer RNA (tRNA) molecules are approximately 80 nucleotides in length. Their secondary structure includes four short double-helical elements and three loops (D, anti-codon, and T loops). The record is from RNAcentral. Lineage: Bacteria; Pseudomonadati; Verrucomicrobiota.